CUGUAGAGAUUUCAGCCUCUACAAGCUGGACCCACUCUGAGGUUUACUGUAGAGACUUCAGCCUCUACAUGCUGUGAGAUCUGCAGGAGCCACCCUGAGGUUUACUGUAGAGACUUCAGCCUCUACAUGCUGUGAGAUCUGCAGGAGCCACUCUGAGGUUUACUGUAGAGAUUUCAGCCUUUACAUGUUGGAGCCACUCUGAGGUUUACUGUAGAGACCUCUGCCUAUAUUCUCAGCUAAAUCUGGUGUGGUGUGCUUCAUGCUUUUCAUGUUUUUUUUUAAUGUAAUUUUGAGAGUUUUAAAGCCUUGAUGUAUUAUUUUAAUAUUUGCUUUUUUUUUUAACCUUUUACUUAUUUUUAUUUUAUUUUUUAAACAAAUAGGUUUUUAGUAUUUUUGUUAUUACUUUUUAAAUGUAAAACACAGCGUAUUUUGGCAGGUAACUACAUUUUUUCCAUUUUUGGGAGCGUUACUAUUAAAAUGCAGUGCCUCUAGGUGCCUCUAGGGGGCUGCGUACAUGAAUCUAGGAAGGCUGAUUGCUGACCAACACGCACACCUGCUUUUUAAAUUAUCCGUUUAAUUUUCUUUUUGCAAGCACACUAAUCUUACACUGCACUGUGUUCACAUGCUGACAAAACAAGGGGUAGAAGAAACACGUAUAACCCCUGUAUGCUCUUGUAAGUUCCAUUGUAAUCCACAAUGUUUAACUUUUCUUUUUCUUUUUUGCACGUCUUUUGAGUCUUGUCAGGGAUCAUCCCGGGCAACUGGUCUCCCCGAUCUAAACCUACAUUUUAGCUUGUUCAUCCAACCCCAUAUCUCUGUUGGCUUUGUGUGUGUGUGUGUGUGUGUAUUCUGAAUGUUAACUUGCAGUUUCCCUCUAUAGUGUAAGUUAGUCUCUGGGUUUCAUUAAAAAAGUAGAAAAAAGGACUGUUAAAAAAUGGUUUUGUUUAACUGUAAGACGAGUUACAGAUAUAGAUACAGUAGCAAAGGCUGUCAGUGGGUAGAGAAACUAAAAAAAGAAAUGUGUACACACUAACAGUCUCUCUUGUUUAGACUAUUAGACUUGUGCAAACCUGUUUUGGUGAGACUUUUAAAAAAAAGUUUGUUUCAUACAUGCCAUGGCAAUAUGAAAUUCAACGCGACAGACACAUUAAACUUUAAAUUCUCUGUAAAAUAUAUUUUAGUGUUUCGGUAAAUUAAUAGGUCAUAUUACUCCACAAUAUCAGGAUAUGUUGUAUUUUGUAAUAAGACAAGAAUUCACCCCUCACUAUCACUGUUGUUCAAUAAAUGCAAUGUAAUCCCUU
This is a long non-coding RNA of Anguilla rostrata (American eel), 1301 nucleotides long. RefSeq lists it as uncharacterized. The transcript is spliced from 2 exons. Lineage: Eukaryota; Metazoa; Chordata; Actinopteri; Anguilliformes; Anguillidae. The record is from RefSeq and is a predicted model, not a curated record.